Molecule: ribosomal RNA, 252 nt
Filed under: uncultured bacterium
Lineage: Bacteria
Description: partial 16S ribosomal RNA
Rfam family: Bacterial small subunit ribosomal RNA
Source: RNAcentral
GACGAACCUGCGAAUGUUGUUCGGAAUCACUGGGCUUAAAGGGCGCGUAGGCGGGCUGUCAAGUCUGGGGUGAAAUGCCGCGGCUCAACCGUGGAACUGCCUUAGAUACUGACGGCCUCGAGGAAGGUAGGGGCAUGCGGAACUGUAGGUGGAGCGGUGAAAUGCGUUGAUAUCUACAGGAACUCCGGUGGCGAAAGCGGCGUGCUGGACCUUUUCUGACGCUGAGGCGCGAAAGCUAGGGGAGCAAACGGG